AGGAAGAGUACACUAGAGCUUAGCCAAUAGUCCAUUCUGGAUAGGCUUUGCUGUCAUUCCAUUGUCCUUGAGAUCCAAAUCACUUGAACUUGGAGGAACGUCCACAGCCGGUGAGCAGUUAAAAAACCCAUGUGGCAUUAGCAUAAAACCAAUGCGAUCCACUGGCAUGACAGGCCAGUCUUCCAAUCGAGGAAUGUGCGUCACUCCAAAUACAUACCAUAGAACUAUGUUAGUUUCUUCAAGGGAUCGAUUUUGCUUCACCCAAGUAGCCAAUCCCUCUCCAACACGAGGAUUUUGAUUAGGAAACUCUCCUCCAGGAUACAUUUCAUCACGUGCGUAAGGUGUUACCCAAAGAUUAUGUUUCAAGAAAGCAGCUCUUCUUAAGAAUUUUGCCUCUGA
This 399-nucleotide unclassified non-coding RNA is filed under the name Hevea brasiliensis (rubber tree). The record is from RNAcentral. Lineage: Eukaryota; Viridiplantae; Streptophyta; Magnoliopsida; Malpighiales; Euphorbiaceae.